GUGCAGGAAAUCCUGAAGGUCACAUAUACCUCCUCUCUGUCCUGGUCACUUCCUCUUGCAAGUGGAAGCAGAUUGGUAUGUACAUACCCCUUUGCUCUGUCCACACCAGGAGUCCACAGGUGGUUCUGCCCUUUGGGCUGCUCCCUGGUUGCCUGGAGGCAUGGCCGUAAUGGAUUCCACAUGUGCCAGUCCUGUCGCCGUUCCUGGGUUUCAGGGAGAAAUGGGCGAUCCAGAUCCUCAGGUGGCGCUUAUCAUCGUCUUUAGGACGGAUGUCAGGCGCAUCGGAGGAGUCUGGUUAUACAAUCACCGUAUCGAGGCUGUUGCCUGACCGUCACUCCAGGGCUCGGCCUGGUCGCUGCAGCCCGUACCCGCUCCUUUGGAGGUUCCGUCCCUCUCUGUGACUGAAGCGGUUCGAUGGCUGGCUUUCGUAUACCUUCUGUGCGGUGCGGAGAGAGGAACAGAGGCUGGUGGGCGCUCUUUGGUUUUUCGAGAGGUGGAAGUCUUUUGGACAGGGAUCCUGGAAUUCUGGUGGUCAUAACUCC
Molecule: long non-coding RNA, 542 nt
Organism: Bufo bufo (common toad)
Lineage: Eukaryota; Metazoa; Chordata; Amphibia; Anura; Bufonidae
Exons: 4
Source: RefSeq, a predicted model, not a curated record